UAUCGUUUAUUUGAYAGAAGCCUACUUACUUGGAUAACCGUGGUAAUUCUAGAGCUAAUACAUGCUAAAAACCUCGACUUCGGAAGGGGUGUAUUUAUUAGAUAAAAAACCAAUGCCCUCCGGGGCUCCCUGGUNAUUCAUAAUAACUAAACGAAUCGCAUGGCCUUGCGCCGGCGAUGGUUCAUUCAAAUUUCUGCCCUAUCAACUUUCGAUGGUAGGAUAGUGGCCUACCAUGGUGGCAACGGGUAACGGGGAAUUAGGGUUCUAUUCCGGAGAGGGAGCCUGAGAAACGGCUACCACAUCCAAGGAAGGCAGCNGGCGCGCAAAUUACCCAAUCCCGACACGGGGAGGUAGUGACAAUAAAUACUGAUGUGGAGCUCUUUAGGGUUUCACAAUUGGAAUGAGAAAAAUCUAAACCACUUAAACGAGGAACAAUUGGAGGGCAAGUCUGGUGCCAGCAGCCGCGGUAAUUCCAGCUCCAAUAGCGUAUAUUAAAGUUGUUGCAGUUAAAAAGCUCGUAGUUGAACCUUGGGCCUGGCCGGCCGGUCCGCCUCACCGCGUGCACUGGUUCGGCCGGGCCUUUCCUCCUGGGGAACCGCAUGCCCUUCACUGGGUGUGCCGGGGAAUCAGGACUUUUACUUUGAAAAAAUUAGAGUGUUCAAAGCAGGCAUUUGCUCGAAUACAUUAGCAUGGAAUAAUAGAAUAGGACGUUGUGGUUCUAUUUUGUUGGUUUCUAGGACCGCCGUAAUGAUUAAUAGGGAACG
RNAcentral lists this ribosomal RNA (764 nucleotides) under Placopsis fuscidula. Its description in RNAcentral is "SSU rRNA". It matches the Rfam family "Eukaryotic small subunit ribosomal RNA", at positions 111 to 892 of the family's 1831-position model. The record is from RNAcentral. Lineage: Eukaryota; Fungi; Ascomycota; Lecanoromycetes; Trapeliales; Trapeliaceae.